CGUGAACAAUGGAUGGAGAAAUUCCCUUUGCAAUGAAUCCUCUUUCCUCACAGUCGGUCCUCCGGGGAACAUGUCAGCACCUUCUGGGACCCCGGAGGAGUCUUUUCUUGAGAAAGAAGCAGCGGUGGUGCUUUGCCUCCAUUUAGGAGUUUUCUUUGCUGAGGCUCCCAAAAUUUAACCAGUCUUAGAAAGCGGUGGAUCCCAUGUGUGGCCUCUCACAAGGAGAAAGAAGAAAAAGAAAAGCAACCAUGCACCUGACCCGUAGCUACCCUUUUUCAGGAUGAGAGGCUCACAUCCGGAAUAUCACAGUUGGGGCUUCAUAAGGCACCCCUGCACCCCUGUUUCCUGGAAUCUACUGAGAGAAAAUGGCAGACCAGCCAAGAUAUUUGACUGAGGAAAGCCUUCUCCACGGUUCCUGUAAGCUACGUGGAUUACCGGUGAGGCCUCACCCAGCAAUCCGGAGCAGGAAGUACAGAACACCCCAGAGGUCGCCUGCACACAACUAACUGAAACCCUCAAUUCAGCGGAUUGGCUUCCACCUUCAAGAGAAAAGCAAAUACUAAGAAAAUCAGUUCCCCCCUGGCACUGACCCUCUUUUCUUUCUGUAAUAGUCAGAGCACCCUGGCGGCGCGGCGCACAGGCACGGACACCUGCUGCAGCCUUGGGGCAGGGCGGCGCAGCGGACAGGCAGUUGGCACAGCAUCAGGGUCUCCAUGCCAGCACCACCACGCACAGGCUGUCAGCUUGGCGAGCUACCCCCACUCUCAGAGUCUUGAUUUCUUGGCUACGCAUUGGGGAUUAGAAAAAAUAAUAACCUGAUAUCCAGCAGAGGCUUGUUGAGAGGAUUAGAGGUCUGUGCAACUGCUCACCUGGGAGCCACUCAACAGGAGUGAGUUCCCUUUCUUAAUACCUGCAGAUAGUGGUCCUUGUUCCAGGCAGAAGGGGCCCUGGGCUGGCCCUAAGGAAGCUUUGAUGAUGGCCAGCCGACUGGUCCGGGUAACAUCAGCCUAGGGGGUUGUGUUUUCCCCAAGGUGGGGAAUUCCAGUUAAGGUUUUCUGUGUUUUGAAGGAACAAUGGAAACAAAAUAGAAGCCUAAAGACUUCCGGGGGAGCCUCAGAAUAAGCAGCGACAGCUGUUCUCUUUCAGGAGAUGUCAGCGCCCUCUCUUGGGGGAGCUGCGUUGACUCGGUCCCUCGUGGGAUUCGCGGGUCCUCUCAGCAUCCUUUCAAAUUAGAACCCCAGCGCUACUUCUCCCAGAAACGUUCUUCCUCAUUUCUUCAUCAGAGUCUUGCAUAUCUUUGUUCUCCUCUCUUCCAUCCAAAUCAUUCUUUCUCUCUGGUUUCGUUGGGUCUUCGACUAGUAUCUCCAAGCUGCAGUCCUAGUUUCUAAAUUUAUAACUCAGUCCAAACCUUCAAAGAACUGAUUCUCUAAGAGGAUUAUGUUUAUCCCUCUGUCACUAAGGGCCUUCCUUCUUACCUCUUAGCAGCCGCAGCGUACGUAGCACAGCGGUUAAGAUCCUGGACUCCACUGCCAGGCCGGCUGGGGUAGGGGUCCCACCUCCACUCAGCCCUCCAGUUGUGUGACCUCGCACAAGUUACUGAACCUCUCUGUGCCUCAGUUUCCUCAUCUGGGAAACGAGGCUGAUUGCAGAAACCACCUGGAGCGAUUGUUGUAGCAUUGAGUGAGUUAACACCUAACGCGCUGAGAACAGGCCGUGAUGUGUUAAGAGCUGUUCGCCACCAUGGGUUUUCCAAGGCUACUCUCUCUCACAGCACUCAUCACACUUGACUUGUGGGGUCACCCACCGGGUGACCCAAACACCAGGGCAGUGUUUCUGCAGUGUGUGCAGUAAAAGCAGAGUAAUCUGGGCCACACUCAGGAACGUAUGUUGUUAACACGGAGACACGGCGAUUUGGAGGCAGGGGGUCCACGGCCUCAUUUUUAGAAGUGCUGCUGCACUCAGCUGUGAGCCGCCAGGGUGGUGACUGCCCCAUCGUCCGGGACACACCCCCCCCCCACCUGCAGGGAGUGAGCUCCUGGCCCCCCC
Long non-coding RNA from Equus caballus (horse), 2046 nucleotides. The record is from Ensembl. NCBI's taxonomy places the organism in Eukaryota, Metazoa, Chordata, Mammalia, Perissodactyla, Equidae.